Molecule: unclassified non-coding RNA, 325 nt
Filed under: Hevea brasiliensis (rubber tree)
Lineage: Eukaryota; Viridiplantae; Streptophyta; Magnoliopsida; Malpighiales; Euphorbiaceae
Source: RNAcentral
GUUAAAAGCAAAGGCCAAUCUUGUAAUGAACACCACAAAAAUUUCGUCUCUUCAAGCUGUAUUGGCUCACGUUUGGAGAUCCGUCAUACGUUGUCGUCAUCUUGAUCUUAGUGAAGAAACUACCUUUGAGGUAUCCAUUGACAUGAGGGGAAGAUUGAAUCCUCCUUUACCCGAAGGGUUCUUUGGAAAUGCAAUUUGCCCUGCUACCGUAACCAUCAAGACAGGAGAGCUACUCGAGCACGAAUUUGGAUGGGCCGCUUUACAAAUCAAUGAGACGAUUGCUCUCCAUGAUCAAGAAAAGUUGAAGUGCAUAUACGAGAGUUGG